Molecule: ribosomal RNA, 502 nt
Filed under: uncultured bacterium
Lineage: Bacteria
Description: partial 16S ribosomal RNA
Rfam family: Bacterial small subunit ribosomal RNA
Source: RNAcentral
GGCGAACGCUGGCGGCGUGCUUAACACAUGCAAGUCGAACGGUGAAGGGGCCUGCUUUUGUGGGCCCUGGAUGAGUGGCGAACGGGUGAGUAACACGUGAGUAACCUGCCCCCUUCUUCUGGAUAACCGCAUGAAAGUGUGGCUAAUACGGGAUAUUCUGGGUCUGUCGCAUGAUGGGUCUGGGAAAGAUUGCGCCUUUGGGUGUUUUUGGUGGGGGAUGGGCUCGCGGCCUAUCAGCUUGUUGGUGGGGUGAUGGCCUACCAAGGCGGUGACGGGUAGCCGGCCUGAGAGGGGGGACGGUCACACUGGGACUGAGACACGGCCCAGACUCCUACGGGAGGCAGCAGUGGGGAAUAUUGCACAAUGGGCGCAAGCCUGAUGCAGCGACGCCGCGUGAGGGAUGGAGGCCUUCGGGUUGUAAACCUCUUUCGCCAGUGAAGCAGGCCUGCUCCUUGUGGGUGGGUUGACGGUAGCUGGAUAAGAAGCGCCGGCUAACUACGUG